AACGAACGCUGGCGGCAUGCUUAACACAUGCAAGUCGAACGGGACCUCCCGGUCUUGUGGCGCAACGGUGCGUACCGAGUGGGAACCUGCCCUUAGGUUCGCAAUCACUCCCCGAAAGGGGUGUUAAUACAGGUUAAUGUCUUCGGACAUAAGAUUUCUCGCUUUUGGAUGGGGCCGGGUUGGUUUCGCUGGUUGGUAGGGUAAAAGCCUGCCAAGGCGAUGUUCCAUAGCUGGUCUGGGAGGAGGAUCAACCACACUGGGACUGAGACACGGCCCAGACUCGUAGGGGUGGCAGCAGUGGGUAAUAUUGGGCAAGGGGCGAAAGCCUGAUCCAGCAAUGCCGCGUGAGUGGUGAAGGCCUUAGUGUUCUAAAGCUCUUUUACCCGGGAUGAUAAUGACAGUACCGGGAGAAUAAGCACCGGCUAACUCCGUG
RNAcentral lists this ribosomal RNA (433 nucleotides) under uncultured bacterium. RNAcentral's name for it is "partial 16S ribosomal RNA". It matches the Rfam family "Bacterial small subunit ribosomal RNA", at positions 29 to 507 of the family's 1533-position model. The record is from RNAcentral.